Long non-coding RNA from Populus trichocarpa (black cottonwood), 1443 nucleotides. RefSeq lists it as uncharacterized. NCBI's taxonomy places the organism in Eukaryota, Viridiplantae, Streptophyta, Magnoliopsida, Malpighiales, Salicaceae. The record is from RefSeq and is a predicted model, not a curated record. The transcript has 2 exons.
UCUGUGAUGUUAAUUUGGGGGUUUCCUUGAAGUGAAAGUUCAUGGUUUUGUUUUUAUUUCUGGAUUUCUCACAAGAUUAUUACUUUUUAGGCUUGGAUUUACUGUAGAAGAGAAAAGGAUGGAGGGAGAAUAAUGGAUUUAAAUGCACUGGCCCAGCUUUCUGCUUUGGUAGUCGCGGUUUUAAAUGCUCAUGCAGGCCCUCUUGCCCUCUUAAAUCCUACCCCAGACAUUCUCACCUCUCCCUCACACCUUGCUAGCCAUCUUCCAAGGAAACAAAAAACCUCCCUCUCUUCCUCUCUGGUCAUUUUGAUCUCUUGUUAUCUUGAUGGAACUCUCCCAUUUCUCUUGACAAGGCAAAGAAGGGAUUGUUUACCGUGUUGAAAUCAUGUGGAAGAGUGACUAUGAUAUUGGCCUGGUUCACUCAGAUCACGACUUCAGAGCAAAGUGUCUUUCUUCUUCUUCUUCUUCUUCUUGUUUUAUGUUCGUUUGAUUUGAUUGAGCCGUGCCAAUAUCUCAGUACUCUUUCAUGUCUCUCCAAGUCGAUCUCCAGAAACACUAUUCCACUAGAACAAUUGAUGGAAAAGAUUCUACGUAUCUUUUCAUCAAUGACAUGAAGCCGAACCAUAUCCCUAGAAGCGUAGCAGGGAACUCUGGUGGGAACUGAAGCAUGCUAGUCCUAUACAAAGUUUAUAUCCUAAAUCACUUUUUGAAAAUAAUUCCCGAAUUAAUAUGAUAAAAUUAGUAUUGUUAUAUACAUAGGUGUUGAUAUUAAUCACAUCUGAUAUAUAUAUAUAUAUGAUCUUACUAUUUUGAAAGAGUGCUAGUUCUUGACUCUCUCUCUCUCUCUCUCUCUCUUCUCUUUUUUUCGUUUUAGUUUUUUUUCAUUGAUCUAAUGAUGCCCCACCUUGAUGAUUUGAAUUAGAAUUUGACAGGAUAAGUCCCAAUCCAACUUUAAGGCAAGUGAGAUGGGAGAUGGUCACUUUUUAGUUAGAUCUCAGAGAGGGUCUCUAGCUAAAAAUGCCUGUAAAAGUCAAAUGGCCUUUAAUAGGAUCCUUUAAUGCAUAGAAUCAUAGACAAAGAAAAGGAGGAAGGAUGCCCCAUAUUGAAUCUCAACUUGAGGUUGCACAAAAAAAUCAUUUUUUCCCUUGAAAGCUAAAACUAGCUCUAGCCGUGACGCAAAUGGAGAGAGCCCUUCCCGUCCACCAGCUAAAUUAAUGCCGUGGAGCUAGGGCAAAGGGCUUGAUGGACGUUCUUGCGUGUUGAGGGAGAUCUCGGGUCACAUAGUAUAUGUCAUUAACAAUCAAACAAGAUUCAACUUGAACUUUCCUGCAUUGUACUAUCUUUUAUUUAGAUCUGUAUAUUCACCAAGAACUUCAAUUUUCAUCAUGUAAAACAUUUUAUCAUUCUAAUUAAUAAUUGCCUUCUCCGACUUUUUAAUUUCAA